GUUCUUAAGAUAAAAAAGGUGACUCCAUCCAAAGGCCAUGAAGUCUUACAGCUGUACUACUGCUACUUACAUCAGAAACAAGCACUACUUUGGAGUGUGGGAAAAGAUUUGGGCGGCAGAAGCUCUUAGAAUCAAAUCAAAUCCAUCUCUGAGGCUCCCUCUCUCCCAAAUGGCAAGAAAAUCCAAUCUCAGCCAUGAUGGAGAGGGGCAUGAGGGUGGAAUUCUCCUCCUCUUUCUCUUUCUCUAGGGCCAUAUAGCAAAUUGAUUUUAGUUUUAAAGGGAAAUUUCAGAUUUGGGUCUAGGCUAUCCAUUCAACUCACCAGAAAAGCAAUGGAGACAAGGACUCAAGGUUGUACUACUGGCCAGGAAUGAAGUGAAGUCAGUGCACUUGGCUGCUGCAUUCCCUGAGGUGUGUCUCUUGGAAUUUGGUGGUGUCUUCAAGCUCCUGGAUCUGCCUCUCUCCAACAUCUGCCUGCUGUCCCAUAUAUACUAAAAUAUAGACAAAAUUAAACAUGCUUAAAGAAAUCUUCUGCAUUUCUAUGGCGGUGAUGCUGACGGAAGUCUUGAGGAGGCCCAGGAACUGCUGGGUUGUUCUUCCUAAGUAUUCGCAGAAGGAGUGAAGGUGACUACUGCAUUCAGAGGCAGUUAAUUUCCUAAGUGCAAGGCUUUAUUCAUUUUGAAGAGAACUUGGAUUGGCUGGUGUUCCAGAAACUGCAACAAAGAAACUCAGACAAAGAAGACACGAGAAAAAUUCAAGCAGCUCCUCUCCAUGCUUCAUAAGUGAUCAGCAGAACUCUAACCACAGACCAGGUGUUUCCGGCUCGCGUUUUUCUGCCUGACAGACCCCUGCAAAGGAUCUGUCUCUGGUCACGACCAGGACCUAGUGACUGAAGGCAGAAGAAUUUCACCUAUUCCCAAGUGUGGGCAAGACACUGGAAAAAGUGUGCAUCAAUCAUCAAGAGUCCAAAUGCAGCUUCAACAGCAUGUGACUGGCUGCAAACCAAAUAAGGACAUUUGAAGAAGGAAUGGAAGUCCUGAUGUUGUCUGAAAUGGAUCAAGGAAGCACCAACAUCAGCAUUUGCCAACAGAGCGUCAGUCCCUUGGAAUAAAAUUCCAUAGUCAGUAGCAGAGCACUCUUUCAAGUUCUAUUCAAGAUAUAUAUUAUCCUUCAAUAAAAUAG
Orcinus orca (killer whale) is the source of this 1180-nucleotide long non-coding RNA. RefSeq lists it as uncharacterized. The record is from RefSeq and is a predicted model, not a curated record. NCBI's taxonomy places the organism in Eukaryota, Metazoa, Chordata, Mammalia, Artiodactyla, Delphinidae. The transcript is spliced from 6 exons.